Long non-coding RNA from Micropterus dolomieu (smallmouth bass), 1382 nucleotides. RefSeq lists it as uncharacterized. The transcript has 3 exons. The record is from RefSeq and is a predicted model, not a curated record. NCBI's taxonomy places the organism in Eukaryota, Metazoa, Chordata, Actinopteri, Centrarchiformes, Centrarchidae.
GCGGCUAUAGACAGGCAGGGAGAACAGACAGAGCUGGAAACUCAGGUGGAUUCUAACAUCUUGGAUAAGUCCAAUGACCUGAAGCAGCAGAGAGAGCAGAUUCGCAAGCUGGAUGAACGAUUGGAUUUGGACAUGCAGGAGCAGACCAGAGAGGAACAGCACUGGGCAGAAGAGAUGGAGUCAGUGGAGAACCAUCGUAAGGUUCUUGAGAAGAAGGUUAAUUAUGGUUACGACGAGGCUAUGCAACCCCUUUACCUUUGUUUGUGGCUACUUUGCACAACAUCAGUGACUUGACUGUGGUUGGUCUUCAUUUCAGAGUUGUGUUAUAUUGAAUCCACUAGGGGGCAGCACACACCUUUUUGUUAUAUUCUAUUUCAUACAUUCAUUCAGUUUUUUUUUGUUUGGUCAACUGAAGUAGUGACAUUGCUUGUGUCUCAGUGUAGGAUAGACUUACAGAAUAACUGUAUUAACAACCUCCACAGUCUCUCAGCUCCUGAAAUCAUCUGAAAUGACUGACCUUUUUUUUGUUUUUUUUCCCUACAUGUUCCCACUUUUCCAAACACCUGACCUGUUGGUUAAUGUUGCAUAUCAGUUUCUUCAAUAGUUACCUGCUUUAACGUUUUCAAACAUCAACAAAAGCUUUGCAACGACUUCCUUGAACAGAGUGAGCACCAAAUGCAAUGGCAUUUAGUUAUUUUUUUCUGUCCACUACCAUCAGUCCAAAUCUAAUCCUUUUAUACAACUACAAAUUGAUAAGUUUGAGCCAUUAAAUUUAGCUGAUAUUUAAGUUUAGUCAGAAACACCAUGUUGAUUCAGUAUAUGAGAUGAAAUGUGUUUCAGACAUAUUCAUGCUUCUUUGGUAGCAUUUGUAUUCUACAAACCCAAUAAGCUGUGAAUGUAUGACUUCAGAUAUUGGUGCGGACCAGCACUGGUAGUUAAAAAAGAAAUGGCACGCAUUGUUUCCAUUUGUGUCAGUCUCAUUUAUCCUGUUUUUUCCAUGCACAUUAGAGCAUUGAAGUUCCACAUAUCAGCCAAAGCCCAAUAAAACCGACUGGCUCAUUAGCAAAUGAAACGUUUAUUUUAGGAGUGAAUGUUUUCUGCGCUUCUGGCAGGCGCAUUCACUGCAAAUCCUUUGGCCAAGGCGAAGUUGGCAGCAAGGACACAAACAGGAAGUGGGGCAUGUCUCUCCACAAUGCAUUCUCCGUGUCAUGGUCAGUAUCACUCAUUGUACCUGUUUCCAAUGAACUCUGCAUGCUUGGCCUUCAAUAUUAGUAUAAAUUUUUUUCUCUUCUGUAUAAUCUAUAGAGAUUCAAUCCAGAUAUCCUGUGGCAAUCUGAAUACAAUUCAAAACCACAAUUUGGGUUCACUUCUCUUUUAAAAAG